GACGAACGCUGGCGGCGUGCUUAACACAUGCAAGUCGAACGGAAAGGCCCUGCUUUUGUGGGGUGCUCGAGUGGCGAACGGGUGAGUAACACGUGAGUAACCUGCCCUUGACUUUGGGAUAACUUCAGGAAACUGGGGCUCAUACCGGAUAGGAGCUCCUGCUGCAUGGUGGGGGUUGGAAAGUUUCGGCGGUUGGGGCUGGACUCGCGGCUUAUCAGCUUGAUGGUGGGGUAGUGGCUUACCAAGGCUUUGACGGGUAGCCGGCCUGAGAGGGUGACCGGCCACAUUGGGACUGAGAUACGGCCCAGUCUCCUACGGGAGGCAGCAGUGGGGAAUAUGGCGCAAUGGGCGGAAGCCUGAUGCAGCAACGCCGCGUGCGGGAUGACGGCCUUCGGGUUGUAAACCGCUUUCGCCUGUGACGAAGCGUGAGUGACGGUAAUGGGUAAAGAAGCACCGGCUAACUACGUG
This 468-nucleotide ribosomal RNA is filed under the name uncultured bacterium. RNAcentral describes it as "partial 16S ribosomal RNA". It matches the Rfam family "Bacterial small subunit ribosomal RNA", at positions 28 to 507 of the family's 1533-position model. The record is from RNAcentral.